This 331-nucleotide ribosomal RNA is filed under the name uncultured eukaryote. RNAcentral's name for it is "partial 18S ribosomal RNA". It matches the Rfam family "Eukaryotic small subunit ribosomal RNA", at positions 1470 to 1796 of the family's 1831-position model. The record is from RNAcentral.
CCCUUAGAUGUUCUGGGCCGCACGCGCGCUACACUGACGAAGUCAGCGAACAUGUCCUACGCCGACAGGUGCGGGGAAUCUUGUCAAACUUCGUCGUGAUGGGGAUUGAUUAUUGAAAUUCUUGAUCAUCAACGAGGAAUUCCUAGUAAGCGCAAGUCAGCAGCUUGCGUUGAUUACGUCCCUGCCCUUUGUACACACCGCCCGUCGCUACUACCGAUUGAAUGGUUUAGUGAGAUCUUCGGAUUGGCGCCACUGCGGCUCAGCAAUGGGCUCGGUGGAUGCCGAAAAGUUGAUCAAACUUGAUCAUUUAGAGGAAGUAAAAGUCGUAACA